GACGAACGCUGGCGGCGGGCUUAACACAUGCAAGUCGAACGGAAGGGCCCUGGUUUUUUGCGAUGCUCGAGUGGGGAAGGGGUGAGUAACACGUGAGUAACCUGCCCUUGCCUUUGGGAAAACUUCAGGAAGCUGAGGGUAAGACCAAUUAGGAGCGCCUGCUGCUGGGUGGGGGUGGGAAAGUUUCGGCGGUUGGGGAUGGACUCGCGGCUUAUCAGCUGGUUGGUGGGGUAGUGGCUUACCAAGGCUUUGAGGGGUAGCCGGCCUGAGAGGGUGACCGGCAACCUUGCGAGUGAGAUACGGCAGGCACUAGUGAGGAAUGUAGCAGAGGGGACUUUAGCACGAUGCACGGAAGCAGCAUGCAGCAUGGCCGCGCGAGGGAUUGCGGCCUUCUUUUAGUAAACCACUUUGGCCUCUGCCGGUGCGUGAGUGACGGUACCGGAUAAAUAAGCACCGGCUAACUACGUG
Molecule: ribosomal RNA, 468 nt
Filed under: uncultured bacterium
Lineage: Bacteria
Description: partial 16S ribosomal RNA
Rfam family: Bacterial small subunit ribosomal RNA
Source: RNAcentral